This 301-nucleotide ribosomal RNA is filed under the name uncultured bacterium. RNAcentral's name for it is "partial 16S ribosomal RNA". It matches the Rfam family "Bacterial small subunit ribosomal RNA", at positions 509 to 809 of the family's 1533-position model. The record is from RNAcentral.
CAGCAGCCACGGUAAUACGAAGGGGGCUAGCGUUGUUCGGAAUUACUGGGCGUAAAGCGCACGUAGGCGGACAUUUAAGUCAGGGGUGAAAUCCCGGGGCUCAACCCCGGAACUGCCUUUGAUACUGGGUGUCUAGAGUAUGGAAGAGGUGAGUGGAAUUCCGAGUGUAGAGGUGAAAUUCGUAGAUAUUCGGAGGAACACCAGUGGCGAAGGCGGCUCACUGGUCCAUUACUGACGCUGAGGUGCGAAAGCGUGGGGAGCAAACAGGAUUAGAUACCCCCGUAGUCCCUGUCUCUUAUAA